UCAGAAAUUUAGAGAGAGGAAAAGAGAUUGCCGAGAGAAAGAUAGGAAACGUGAGAAGAAGAGCAUGCACCUCCAAACCUUUUCUCAACCACCAACCUAGAUGGUAGACAAGGAAGAUAUGGGGUUUAGAGAAGAGGAUGAAUCAAAGAUGGCAGAAGAGACAAGGAAAGUGGUUAGAGAAGAAGAAAGUUCUUGAAGAUUAAAGGGUUAUGGUUUAAAUUGGAGACUAAAAUUGGGAUUUUUCACCAUCACCUACUCUCAUGAAAUUAAUGAGGUUUAGCUAGACAUCAGAAAGUUGAAAAGUAUGUCCAGACUACUCGUCAACAUUUCAAUGUAGAGCCCCUUCAUUACCAGAUCAUAGUUAAGGUCGUAGAUUAAAAGUUGUAUUCUGUUGUGUCAUCCAAUUCUAUAUGUAAUAAAAAUGGUGUAUUUUAAGCUUAAAAAGAAGGCUUAAUUACACUUUUGGUCCUCGUGUUUUGGCCUACUCACGAAACUGGUCCAGCCCUUUUAAAACAGAACAAAACGGUCCUUCAAUUAUCAUUUUUUUUGCAUUUUUAGUCCUACCUCCUAUUUUCAAACUCCAGAAACGCAGAGAAAUGACAGUUUUAGGCGGUUUUAGACCUACCCCUAUGCUCAACCACGAAAUCAACAAGGAAUAAAACAUGUGGGCACAAAGAAUCUAUUCUAUUCAGCACACUAACCAA
This 704-nucleotide long non-coding RNA is filed under the name Medicago truncatula (barrel medic). RNAcentral's name for it is "lncRNA gene9486". The record is from RNAcentral. Lineage: Eukaryota; Viridiplantae; Streptophyta; Magnoliopsida; Fabales; Fabaceae.